Molecule: ribosomal RNA, 253 nt
Filed under: uncultured bacterium
Lineage: Bacteria
Description: partial 16S ribosomal RNA
Rfam family: Bacterial small subunit ribosomal RNA
Source: RNAcentral
UACGAAGGGGGCUAGCGUUGCUCGGAAUCACUGGGCGUAAAGCGCACGUAGGCGGGUUGUUAAGUCGGGGGUGAAAUCCUGGAGCUCAACUCCAGAACUGCCUUCGAUACUGGCGACCUUGAGUCCGGGAGAGGUGAGUGGAACUCCGAGUGUAGAGGUGAAAUUCGUAGAUAUUCGGAGGAACACCAGUGGCGAAGGCGGCUCACUGGUCCAUUACUGACGCUGAGGUGCGAAAGCGUAGGGAGCAAACAGG